This 424-nucleotide ribosomal RNA is filed under the name Verrucomicrobiota bacterium. Its description in RNAcentral is "Verrucomicrobia bacterium partial 16S ribosomal RNA". It matches the Rfam family "Bacterial small subunit ribosomal RNA", at positions 355 to 776 of the family's 1533-position model. The record is from RNAcentral. Lineage: Bacteria; Pseudomonadati; Verrucomicrobiota.
UGAGGAAUAUUGGUCAAUGGACGCAAGUCUGAACCAGCCAAGUAGCGUGCAGGAUGACGGCCCUAUGGGUUGUAAACUGCUUUUAUAUGGGGAUAAAGUGGGGAACGUGUUCCCUUUUGCAGGUACCAUAUGAAUAAGGACCGGCUAAUUCCGUGCCAGCAGCCGCGGUAAUACGGAAGGUUCGGGCGUUAUCCGGAUUUAUUGGGUUUAAAGGGAGCGUAGGCCGUUUGGUAAGCGUGUUGUGAAAUGUAGGAGCUCAACUUCUAGAUUGCAGCGCGAACUGUCAGACUUGAGUGCGCACAACGUAGGCGGAAUUCAUGGGGUAGCGGUGAAAUGCUUAGAUAUCAUGAAGAACUCCGAUUGCGAAGGCAGCUUACGGGAGCGAAACUGACGCUGAAGCUCGAAGGUGCGGGUAUCGAACAGG